CCUGGGCAUGGUGCACGCCUGUAAUCCCAAUGGCUUGGGAGGCUGAGGCAGGAGGAUCAUGAGUUCAAAGCCAGCCUCAGCAAUGGCAAGGUGCUAAGCAACUCCGUGAGACCCUGUCUCUA
RNAcentral lists this small RNA (122 nucleotides) under Marmota monax (woodchuck). The record is from RNAcentral. Lineage: Eukaryota; Metazoa; Chordata; Mammalia; Rodentia; Sciuridae.